UAUAAUUAGUAAUGUAACAAAAGUUAGUAUAGGAGAUUCAUACAGUGUAACAUGUAGAUCUCAAUACAAUCGAGUUGAUUUCUAUAGAAACGAUACACUCAUAGUUAGACCAACACGUCGUCAUGGUGAGGCACCUUGUAGGGUAAACGACAGCACCAUGAAUGAAUUCAACUGUACCAUAACCCCAUAUGGCAACCGUACUUUUGAACAUCUGUUAAUUAUUCUAUCUGCUAACCGUACUGGUACAACUCAAUGGCAGUGUAAACAUACAAAUACCAGAUUUGUUUCAAACAAUGUCUCCAUAACAAUAACAACUAAAGAUCAAACACAGAAAAAUGCUGAAAACACGACCACUGGUGGCCAAAUGGAAAAUAUUGCUGAUUCAAAUAUUACAUUAUUUGCUGUAAUUGGAGCUGGUUGCCUGUUUGGUUUGUUGUUUAUUGGAUGUUUUAUUUACGUAGCCAGUCGCCAUAGACAACAGAACACAGAACCAAGAGAGAAAACUGAGAAUUCAGACCCAGUGGUUGAGGAAAGUAAGAUGUACCCGAGUGUAAAUACGAUGGCGAUGGGUGGAGAUUACGAGGCUAUGGAUGAUUUACCCGCCUGGAAUGAUAACAGAGAUAACUCAAACAAGACUGGUGCUUAUGAUCCUAAUAAAAUUUAUGGUGUAGUCAAUAAAAACACCAACAAAGGUAAUUUAUUUUUU
Molecule: long non-coding RNA, 706 nt
Organism: Patella vulgata (common limpet)
Lineage: Eukaryota; Metazoa; Mollusca; Gastropoda; Patellidae
Exons: 3
Source: RefSeq, a predicted model, not a curated record